This is a non-coding RNA of Callorhinus ursinus (northern fur seal), 899 nucleotides long. The record is from RefSeq and is a predicted model, not a curated record. NCBI's taxonomy places the organism in Eukaryota, Metazoa, Chordata, Mammalia, Carnivora, Otariidae.
UGGUUGCUGUCUGUUUCUGACGAAGGCCAUUCUAGAAAGGUGCCCUGGAACUGAAGGGGUGUCAGAUGGGGGAGCCGACGCUGUCACUGAAGCAAUGUUGUUGGCGUUUUCUGGUCACAGAUUUGCUACGGCAGCACAUUUAGAGGACUGUGGAUACCAGUGGAUGGGAAGAAACUGAGCAGACAUCCUAGAAGCUAAACAUUUCCUGGAACAUUAGCAGAUCUUAUUGUACCAAACUCACUCUUGUGAUGAUGUGAGAUGGUAAAAUGCCUACACGAUGAGAUGAGUGAGGUGAACGAGGCAGGCCUUGUGACAUAGCGUUAGGCUACUAUUGACCUUCAGCGACAGGAGAAAGUCUCACUGUUGACCUUCAGAAGGAGGAUCAUCUGCUCCUGGACCACGGCCGACCACGGAUCGCUGCUGACCAUGGGUAACUAAAACCUCAGAAAGCAAAACCAUGGAGAAGGGGGCAUUACUGUAGUAAUGAAUAGUAGCAUCUUGGGGCCAGAAGGGACCUUAGAGUUCAUCUGACCCAAAUGUUUGUUUCAGGAGAGGAGGAAACUGGCUCCCCCACACGUGAGCUUCCCCUGCCUCUGCCUUGAGGAUGUGGCUGCCAGGCAAGCCAUGUGGAAUAGAAAAUCAAUUGGAGUGUCAUGAAGAGGAUAUUCCCUGAAGAAGAUUGCUGGUGACAGUGGAUUUGUCACCCACCUUACUUUCUUUUACUGAACAAUUGGAAUUUCCUCCACAGUGAGUGAGACCCGGUAUUAUUACAGUGUCUGAAUUCAGGCAGGCCUUUUAUGGACGAGCCAAGUUUUCAUUCCAUUGUCUCGCUGUCAUUGGCUCAUCUGAUCUCCACACUGGUUAAUUUGUUUCAAAUCCCUUCAUAUUGAUCUAAUAAA